UGGAGUGUCAAUGAGGUAGUCUCCACUAUCCCUAGAAACAUGGCGGCUUCUUAAACUUCCUGUUGAACUUCUAACCCCCAUUAAAGGACCUGACAUGUUCACCAAUGCUGGAAGGAGCUGACCUGACCGUCCNNNNNNNNNNUUCAACUCUGGAGGCAUUGGACUUAAUGGGCCCGAGGCACUUCGCCCUGUCACACCUGCUGUUCGCCAACUCAGGCUUCCACUAGUAUUUCUGAGGGGACCAUCAAGGGAACCACGGAC
This 261-nucleotide unclassified non-coding RNA is filed under the name Hevea brasiliensis (rubber tree). Lineage: Eukaryota; Viridiplantae; Streptophyta; Magnoliopsida; Malpighiales; Euphorbiaceae. The record is from RNAcentral.